Molecule: non-coding RNA, 786 nt
Organism: Doryrhamphus excisus (bluestripe pipefish)
Lineage: Eukaryota; Metazoa; Chordata; Actinopteri; Syngnathiformes; Syngnathidae
Source: RefSeq, a predicted model, not a curated record
GAUGCUGCAUGCAUUGUGUGAUGUCUUUAUUUGCUGCCUCUCAGUCUUACUUUGCUAAUCCCUCCUGCACUAAUCUCUUUUAUCUUUUUCUGUCGUCUUUUGUUUCCAUUCUGGCUACAAAACUGAGUAUGCACAUCUAUUCCUGCCGAGCUAGAGACUUUUACCUGAACUUUGACUUUGCAUCCUGGGGUCACGACCAUUGCCCAGAGUGACCAAAAUUAAAACAGAAGAUGCUGCCGGAAGUGCCAAGCAGGGGGGAUAUACUCACGAUACAGUAUUCCACAUCAUGGGAAACCAGAAUGGCAACAAGGGUGGCCUGGAGAAUCAGGGGCCAUCUCAGAGUCAGAGCCAUCCCCAAGUGAACCAAGUGGAUCAGAGUCAACCCAAAUGAUCUGCUGAGUGCUUGUGCACGUGUUGGUUGGGUGUCAGCACGCUGCCUCCACCGACAUCCCGCAGGAAGACAUCUUGGGCUGUUCUUCUCAUCUGGGAAAAACAAAACAUCCACCGGACUCCAAAUGCCAUUAUUUAUGAAGCUAUGCUAGUCUGCACAUGAAGGAAUGGAUGGAGGCUGUGUUGUAUACUUCAAGCAGACUAAGUCAUGUAUAAUAUAUGAUUGUUUUAGCGUCAUAAAGCCAUGUGGUGGAUGCAGCUCUCAAAAGCACCAAAACAAGACUUUUCUACUUUCCACACAAAUAAAACAUUUCAAGGAAGACGUUUGGUCAACUUGGAAAUGAUUGACAGCAGCGAGGAGAGAAAAAGCUCAAACACACGCUCGUUGUCCGGCGG